UACGCACCGCCCGUCACACCAUGGGAGUUGGUUUGACCUGAAGACGGUGAGCUAACCCGCAAGGGGGGCAGCCGGCCACGGUCAGGUCAGCGACUGGGGUG
This 101-nucleotide ribosomal RNA is filed under the name uncultured bacterium. RNAcentral's name for it is "partial 16S ribosomal RNA". It matches the Rfam family "Bacterial small subunit ribosomal RNA", at positions 1384 to 1482 of the family's 1533-position model. The record is from RNAcentral.